CGUGGUGUGCCCUGUGAAG
This 19-nucleotide microRNA is filed under the name Callorhinchus milii (elephant shark). Its description in RNAcentral is "eshark_NOVEL_373". Lineage: Eukaryota; Metazoa; Chordata; Chondrichthyes; Chimaeriformes; Callorhinchidae. The record is from RNAcentral.